Molecule: ribosomal RNA, 497 nt
Filed under: uncultured bacterium
Lineage: Bacteria
Description: partial 16S ribosomal RNA
Rfam family: Bacterial small subunit ribosomal RNA
Source: RNAcentral
GACGAACGCUGGCGGCGUGCCUAAUACAUGCAAGUUGAGCGCUGAAGGUUGGUACUUGUACCAACUGGAUGAGCAGCGAACGGGUGAGUAACGCGUGGGGAAUCUGCCUUUGAGCGGGGGACAACAUUUGGAAACGAAUGCUAAUACCGCAUAAAAACUUUAAACACAAGUUUUAAGUUUGAAAGAUGCAAUUGCAUCACUCAAAGAUGAUCCCGCGUUGUAUUAGCUAGUUGGUGAGGUAAAGGCUCACCAAGGCGAUGAUACAUAGCCGACCUGAGAGGGUGAUCGGCCACAUUGGGACUGAGACACGGCCCAAACUCCUACGGGAGGGAGCAGUAGGGAAUCGUCGGCCAGGGAGGAAAGGCUGACCGAACAACGCCGCGGGAGUGAAGAAGGUUUUCGGAUCGUAAAACUCUGUUGGUAGAGAAGAACGUUGGUGAGAGUGGAAAGCUCAUCAAGUGACGGUAACUACCCAGAAAGGGACGGCUAACUACGUG